GAAAGAGUGAGGAAGGGGGUGACACAGUGACAGAGUGAGGGAGGGGGUGACUAGUGACAGAGUGAAGGAGGUGGUGACUGUCACUAGUCACCCCAUCCCUCCCUUUGUCACUAGUCACCCCUUCCCUCCCUCACUCU
Molecule: non-coding RNA, 137 nt
Organism: Pelobates cultripes (western spadefoot toad)
Lineage: Eukaryota; Metazoa; Chordata; Amphibia; Anura; Pelobatidae
Source: the annotation of a GenBank genome assembly